This 253-nucleotide ribosomal RNA is filed under the name uncultured bacterium. RNAcentral describes it as "partial 16S ribosomal RNA". It matches the Rfam family "Bacterial small subunit ribosomal RNA", at positions 524 to 776 of the family's 1533-position model. The record is from RNAcentral.
UACGUAGGUGGCGAGCGUUGUCCGGAUCUACUGGGCGUAAAGGGAGCGUAGGCGGACUUUUAAGUGAGAUGUGAAAUACUCGGGCUCAACUUGAGUGCUGCAUUUCAAACUGGAAGUCUAGAGUGCAGGAGAGGAGAAUGGAAUUCCUAGUGUAGCGGUGAAAUGCGUAGAGAUUAGGAAGAACACCAGUGGCGAAGGCGACUCUCUGGACUGUGACUGACGCUGAGGCUCGAAAGCGUGGGGAGCAAACAGG